AACGGGUGAGUAACACGUGAGCAACCUGCCCUAUACAACGGGAUAACACAGAGAAAUUUGUGCUAAUACGGUAUAAGACCACAGUAUCGCAUGAUACAGGGGUAAAAGAUUUAUCGGUAUAGGAUGGGCUCGCGACCCAUUAGCUAGUUGGUGAGGUAACGGCCCACCAAGGCAACGAUGGGUAGCCGACCUGAGAGGGUGAUCGGCCACACUGGGACUGAGACACGGCCCAGACUCCUACGGAAGGCAGCAG
RNAcentral lists this ribosomal RNA (253 nucleotides) under uncultured bacterium. RNAcentral describes it as "partial 16S ribosomal RNA". It matches the Rfam family "Bacterial small subunit ribosomal RNA", at positions 101 to 354 of the family's 1533-position model. The record is from RNAcentral.